AUCUCUCAUGGCGUCAAUGCCCCCUUCAUGGGGUAUUACCUUGUAGAGGCUGGAUACAUCUAAAGUAAUUAAAGUAAUCUGUUCAUCAGCUGGUUUUAAAUUUUUCAACUUCUCUAUUAAUUGCGCCAUAUCUCUUAUGCAUGUUGGAAUUGCAUUAACUGGUGAUUUGAACAAAAAGUCCAAGUACUUUGCAAUCAGCUCCAAAAUCCCAUCCACUGCCGAGACGAUAGGUUGUCCGGG
Molecule: non-coding RNA, 240 nt
Organism: Pelobates cultripes (western spadefoot toad)
Lineage: Eukaryota; Metazoa; Chordata; Amphibia; Anura; Pelobatidae
Source: the annotation of a GenBank genome assembly